Molecule: ribosomal RNA, 1444 nt
Filed under: uncultured marine cyanobacterium
Lineage: Bacteria; Bacillati; Cyanobacteriota
Description: bacterial SSU rRNA
Rfam family: Bacterial small subunit ribosomal RNA
Source: RNAcentral
GAGUUUGAUCAUGGCUCAGGAUGAACGCUGGCGGCGUGCUUAACACAUGCAAGUCGAACGAACCUUCGGGUUAGUGGCGGACGGGUGAGUAACGCGUGAGAAUCUGCCCUCAGGAGGGGGGUAACGGUUGGAAACGACCGCUAAUACCCCAUAUGCCGAUAGGUGAAAUGAAUUUCGCCUGAGGAUGAGCUCGCGUCUGAUUAGCUUGUUGGUGAGGAAUGGCUCACCAAGGCUUCGAUCAGUAGCUGGUCUGAGAGGAUGAUCAGCCACACUGGGACUGAGACACGGCCCAGACUCCUACGGGAGGCAGCAGUGGGGAAUUUUCCGCAAUGGGCGAAAGUCUGACGGAGCAACGCCGCGUGAGGGACGAAGGCCUCUGGGCUGUAAACCUCUUUUCUCAAGUAAGAAGAUAUGACGGUACUUGAGGAAUAAGCCACGGCUAAUUCCGUGCCAGCAGCCGCGGUAAUACGGGAGUGGCAAGCGUUAUCCGGAAUUAUUGGGCGUAAAGCGUCCGCAGGCGGCCUUUCAAGUCUGCUGUUAAAGCGUGGAGCUUAACUCCAUUAUGGCAGUGGAAACUGAUCGGCUUGAGUAUGGUAGGGGCAGAGGGAAUUCCCGGUGUAGCGGUGAAAUGCGUAGAAAUCGGGGAGAACACCAGUGGCGAAGGCGCUCUGCUGGGCCAUUACUGACGCUCAUGGACGAAAGCCAGGGGAGCGAAAGGGAUUAGAUACCCCUGUAGUCCUGGCCGUAAACGAUGAACACUAGGUGUCGGGGGAAUCGACCCCUUCGGUGUCGUAGCUAACGCGUUAAGUGUUCCGCCUGGGGAGUACGCACGCAAGUGUGAAACUCAAAGGAAUUGACGGGGGCCCGCACAAGCGGUGGAGUAUGUGGUUUAAUUCGAUGCAACGCGAAGAACCUUACCAGGGUUUGACAUCCUGAGAACCUCUUAGAAAUUUGAGGGUGCCUUCGGGAAUUCAGUGACAGGUGGUGCAUGGCUGUCGUCAGCUCGUGUCGUGAGAUGUUGGGUUAAGUCCCGCAACGAGCGCAACCCACGUUUUUAGUUGCCAGCAUUUAGUUGGGCACUCUGGAAAGACCGCCGGUGAUAAACCGUAGGAAGGUGUGGAUGACGUCAAGUCAUCAUGCCCCUUACACCCUGGGCUACACACGUACUACAAUGCUACGGACAAAGGGCAGCAAACUCGCGAGAGCUAGCAAAUCCCAUAAACCGUGGCUCAGUUCAGAUCGUAGGCUGCAACUCGCCUACGUGAAGUAGGAAUCGCUAGUAAUCGCAGGUCAGCAUACUGCGGUGAAUACGUUCCCGGGCCUUGUACACACCGCCCGUCACACCAUGGAAGUUGGCCAUGCCCGAAGUCGUUACUCCAACCCUUGUGGAGGAGGACGCCGAAGGUGGGGCUAAUGACUGGGGUGAAGUCGUAACAAGGUAACC